RNAcentral lists this ribosomal RNA (460 nucleotides) under uncultured bacterium. RNAcentral describes it as "partial 16S ribosomal RNA". It matches the Rfam family "Bacterial small subunit ribosomal RNA", at positions 338 to 795 of the family's 1533-position model. The record is from RNAcentral.
CCUACGGGUGGCAGCAGUGAGGAAUAUUGGUCAAUGGACGAGAGUCUGAACCAGCCAAGUAGCGUGAAGGAUGACUGCCCUAUGGGUUGUAAACUUCUUUUAUAUGGGAAUAAAACGUUCCACGUGUGGGAUUUUGUAUGUACCAUAUGAAUAAGGAUCGGCUAACUCCGUGCCAGCAGCCGCGGUAAUACGGAGGAUCCGAGCGUUAUCCGGAUUUAUUGGGUUUAAAGGGAGCGUAGGUGGAUUGUUAAGUCAGUUGUGAAAGUUUGCGGCUCAACCGUAAAAUUGCAGUUGAAACUGGCAGUCUUGAGUACAGUAGAGGUGGGCGGAAUUCGUGGUGUAGCGGUGAAAUGCUUAGAUAUCACGAAGAACUCCGAUUGCGAAGGCAGUUCACUGGACUGCAACUGACACUGAGGCUCGAAAGUGUGGGUAUCAAACAGGAUUAGAUAUCCUUGUAGUC